This 440-nucleotide ribosomal RNA is filed under the name uncultured bacterium. RNAcentral describes it as "partial 16S ribosomal RNA". It matches the Rfam family "Bacterial small subunit ribosomal RNA", at positions 338 to 795 of the family's 1533-position model. The record is from RNAcentral.
CCUACGGGAGGCAGCAGUGGGGAAUAUUGGACAAUGGGGGCAACCCUGAUCCAGCGACGCCGCGUGAGUGAAGAAGGAUUUCGGUACGUAAAGCUCUUUCAGCAGGAAAGAAAAUGACGGUACCUGACUAAGAAGCCACGGCUAACUACGUGCCAGCAGCCGCGGUAAUACGUAGGGGGCAAGCGUUAUCCGGAUUUACUGGGUGUAAAGGGAGCGUAGACGGCAUCGCAAGUCUGGUGUGAAAUGCCGGGGCCCAACCCCGAAACUGCCUUGGAAACUGUGAUGCUGGAGUGCAGGAGAGGUAGGCGGAAUUCCGGGUGUAGCGGUGAAAUGCGUAGAUAUCAGGAGGAACACCGGCGGCGAAGGCGGCUUACUGGACUAUAACUGACGUUGAGGCUCGAAGGCGUGGGGAGCAAACAGGAUUAGAUACCCUAGUAGUC